GGUUAAGUUAAUAAGGGCGCACGGUGGAUGCCUUGGCACUAGAAGCCGAUGAAGGACGUGACUAACGACGAAAUGCUUUGGGGAGCUGUAAGUGAGCAAAGAUCCAGAGAUGUCCGAAUGGGGGAACCCGGCAGGUAAUGCCUGUCACUCAUUACUGUUAAGGUAAUGAAGAGGAAGACGCAGUGAACUGAAACAUCUAAGUAGCUGCAGGAAGAGAAAGCAAAAGCGAUUGCCUUAGUAGCGGCGAGCGAAAUGGCAAGAGGGCAAACCGAAGAGUUUACUCUUCGGGGUUGUAGGACUGCGAUGUGGACUUAAAGAUUAUAGAAGAACUACCUGGGAAGGUAGGCCACGUCGGAAUCUGGGAGGACCAUCUCCCAACCCUAAAUACUCUCUAGUGACCGAUAGUGAACCAGUACCGUGAGGGAAAGGUGAAAAGCACCCCGGGAGGGGAGUGAAAUAGAACCUGAAACUGUGUGCCUACAACAAGUUCGAGCCCGUUAAUGGGUGAGAGCGUGCCUUUUGUAGAAUGAACCGGCGAGUUACGAUAUGAUGCGAGGUUAAGUUGAAGAGACGGAGCCGCAGGGAAACCGAGUCUUAAUAGGGCACCAUAGUAUCAUGUCGUAGACCCGAAACCAUGUGACCUACCCAUGAGCAGGUUGAAGGUGAGGUAAAACUCACUGGAGGACCGAACCAGGGCACGUUGAAAAGUGCUUGGAUGACUUGUGGGUAGCGGAGAAAUUCCAAACGAACUUGGAGAUAGCUGGUUCUCUCCGAAAUAGCUUUAGGGCUAGCGUCGA
Molecule: ribosomal RNA, 797 nt
Filed under: Enterococcus faecalis
Lineage: Bacteria; Bacillati; Bacillota; Bacilli; Lactobacillales; Enterococcaceae
Description: partial 23S ribosomal RNA
Rfam family: Bacterial large subunit ribosomal RNA
Source: RNAcentral